GGGCCUUCAGCCAAACGGCCAAGGUCGAAUUACUGCGCAUAUCACAACUUCCCUAUCCUUUCUAUAAACCACCCAACUUACUAUAUACACCUCCCACCGUAUACUCCUUUCUUCUUCUCACCCUAAAAAAGCUCUUUUUAAGCUCUUAGCAAUGGCCCAUUAUCAAGGCCGGCCGUGUGUUCCGUCCCACACACACUUACCACACACAUUACAUACACGUUUAUUGAUAGUAUAGUAGCUAGACGGAACGUAUACCUAUUAGUACGAUGUCUUUCCAUGCAGAGCCAUCUGGCGGAUGUGAUGAUCGGGACCGCGUGGCGUGAAUGCUGUUUAGGAAAGGGGGGGAGGGGGGAAGAAAAGGCGCCAUGGCGCUAGUUGCUAUGUCACCUCAUGGCCUUCCGAAAUUUUUGGACUAGAUAUUGGCACAUCGGCCGAAACGGGAAGUACACUGGUUUUCAUGACAUGUGACUGGGCCACUAUUUCGCCAUUCAACGCGCAUCGUUGCUGAUGGGUUUUUCGUAUUCACUGGCUGACGUUAGGACUCCAGACAUCGUGGCGCCACUCUACUACAUAAUUUUCUGUCUUCAA
Molecule: long non-coding RNA, 588 nt
Organism: Daphnia carinata
Lineage: Eukaryota; Metazoa; Arthropoda; Branchiopoda; Diplostraca; Daphniidae
Exons: 2
Source: RefSeq, a predicted model, not a curated record